GAUGAACGCUGGCGGCGUGCCUAACACAUGCAAGUCGAACGGACUUUUCAUGAAGCCUAGCGAUUGAAAAGUUAGUGGCGGACGGGUGAGUAACGCGUGGGUAACCUGCCUUGUACUGGGGGACAACAGUUGGAAACGACUGCUAAUACCGCAUAAGCGCACAGCUUCGCAUGAAGCAGUGUGAAAAACUCCGGUGGUACAAGAUGGACCCGCGUCUGAUUAGCUGGUUGGUGAGGUAACGGCCCACCAAGGCGACGAUCAGUAGCCGGCCUGAGAUGGUGAACGGCCACACUGGGACUGAUACACAGCCCAAACUCCUACGGGUGGCAGCAGUGGGGAAUAUUGCACAUUGGGUGAAACCCUGAUGCAGCAACGCCGCGUGAGUGAAGAAGUAUUUCGGUAUGUAAAGCUCUAUCAGCAGGAAAGAAAAGGACGGUACCUGACUAAGAAGCCCCGGCUAACUACGUGCCAGCCGCCGCCGUAA
Molecule: ribosomal RNA, 484 nt
Filed under: uncultured bacterium
Lineage: Bacteria
Description: partial 16S ribosomal RNA
Rfam family: Bacterial small subunit ribosomal RNA
Source: RNAcentral